Molecule: ribosomal RNA, 481 nt
Filed under: uncultured bacterium
Lineage: Bacteria
Description: bacterial SSU rRNA
Rfam family: Bacterial small subunit ribosomal RNA
Source: RNAcentral
GACAAACGCUGGCGGCGUGCUUAACACAUGCAAGUCGAACGAAGCAUAUAUGACGGAGACUUCGGUCAAAGACAUAUAUGACUGAGUGGCGGACGGGUGAGUAACGCGUGAGUAACCUGCCUUCAAGAGGGGGACAACUUAGGGAAACUUAAGCUAAUACCGCAUGACAUUGCGACUCCGCAUGGAGAUGCAAUCAAAGAUUUAUCGCUUGAAGAUGGACUCGCGUCCGAUUAGGUAGUUGGUGAGGUAACGGCUCACCAAGCCGACGAUCGGUAGCCGGACUGAGAGGUUGACCGGCCACAUUGGGACUGAGAUACGGCCCAGACUCCUACGGGAGGCAGCAGUGGGGAAUAUUGGGCAAUGGGGGAAACCCUGACCCAGCAACGCCGCGUGAAGGAAGAAGGCCUUCGGGUUGUAAACUUCUUUUACCAGGGACGAAUAAAUGACGGUACCUGGAGAAAAAGCAACGGCUAACUACGUG